Pelobates cultripes (western spadefoot toad) is the source of this 415-nucleotide non-coding RNA. NCBI's taxonomy places the organism in Eukaryota, Metazoa, Chordata, Amphibia, Anura, Pelobatidae. The record is from the annotation of a GenBank genome assembly.
GCUACGGGUGCAUCCACGACAAGCAGGAAGUCAGCUUGGGGCUUACAUUGGUGGCAGAAUUGCAACAGGUUUUGUCCUACCUGGUUAACCUGGAGAGCUAGCUUGAACAGGACUAUGCUCGCUUGCUCCAAAGUGUAACGCCACCUGUCUCUGACAUGAUGAGGCUUAUGGACUGUUUACCACUGUGAGCGUUGAGUUUCGUCCCUCCUCCCCAGCAACUAAGCCUGUCAUCAGGAGACCCGGGCACUGUACCAUCUACUUCCCAACCAGCCUCAGAGAUAAGAGACCUUAUUGACUGGGGAGUAUGUCCCAAACAUUCUCUCCACCGGCCCUACAGGGAUGUUGGGCAGCGGCACAGGGAGAGGAGAUUGUUGGUCCCUCAUUCCAGCAGCAGCAAGCAUCCCUUGGAGUGGAG